GAGUUUGUCAGGUUACAACGAGAACUGCUAAUUACUCGUUUCCGCGGCUCAAUUCCGCGGCUAACUCA
This 68-nucleotide transfer RNA is filed under the name Ameerega hahneli. RNAcentral's name for it is "tRNA-Ser". The record is from RNAcentral. Lineage: Eukaryota; Metazoa; Chordata; Amphibia; Anura; Dendrobatidae.